Molecule: ribosomal RNA, 461 nt
Filed under: uncultured bacterium
Lineage: Bacteria
Description: bacterial SSU rRNA
Rfam family: Bacterial small subunit ribosomal RNA
Source: RNAcentral
GACGAACGCUGGCGGCGUGCUUAACACAUGCAAGUCGAGGGUAGCAAUACACUGGCGCAAGGGUGCGUAACGCGUAGAUUAUCUGCCCCAUACACUAACAUAACGCUUGGAAACGGUGCUAAUAUUAGAUGAGGUGCUUCGGCAUCAAAGUUUCGACGGUAUGGGAUGAGUCUGCGUCUGAUUAGCUAGUUGGUAGUGUAAUGGACUACCAAGGCGACGAUCAGUAGCUGGUCUGAGAGGACGAUCAGCCACACUGGAACUGAGACACGGUCCAGACUCCUACGGGAGGCAGCAGUGAGGAAUUUUGCGCAAUGGACGAAAGUCUGACGCAGCGACGCCGCGUGUGGGAUGAAGGGGCUACGCCCUGUAAACCACUGUUAGAUGUGAAAAAAAGAUGGCUUUGCCGUCCGGGAUUGUAACAUCAAAGAAGGACCGGCUAACUACGUGCCAGCAGCCGCGGU